Molecule: ribosomal RNA, 433 nt
Filed under: uncultured bacterium
Lineage: Bacteria
Description: partial 16S ribosomal RNA
Rfam family: Bacterial small subunit ribosomal RNA
Source: RNAcentral
AGCGAACGCUGGCGGCAGGCCUAACACAUGCCAGUCGAACGAGCUCUUCGGAGUUAGUGGCGGACGGGUGAGUAACACGUGGGAACGUGCCUUUUGGUUCGGAAUAACUCAGGGAAACUUGUGCUAAUACCGAAUGUGCCCUUCGGGGGAAAGAUUUAUCGCCAUUAGAGCGGCCCGCGUCUGAUUAGCUAGUUGGUGAGGUAACGGCUCACCAAGGCGACGAUCAGUAGCUGGUCUGAGAGGAUGACCAGCCACACUGGGACUGAGACACGGCCCAGACUCCUACGGGAGGCAGCAGUGGGGAAUCUUGCGCAAUGGGCGAAAGCCUGACGCAGCCAUGCCGCGUGAAUGAUGAAGGUCUUAGGAUUGUAAAAUUCUUUCACCGGGGACGAUAAUGACGGUACCCGGAGAAGAAGCCCCGGCUAACUUCGUG